AGGGCCACACUCGUGGUACAUGGAGGUUCCCAGGCUAGGGGUCAAAUUGGAACUGUAGCCACUGGCCUACACCACAGCUGUAGCAACUCAGGAUCCGAGCCGCAUCUGUGACCUACACCACAGCUCACCAGAUCCUUAAUCCACUGAGCGAGGCCAGAGAUCGAACUGCAUCCUCAUGGAUCCCAGUCAGAUUUGUUAACCGCUGAGUCACGACAGGAACUCCACAAGGUUGAUAUUUUUUGAUCCACCAAACCACUUGUAGGAUUUAACCCUAAAGGAAUAAUCAGAAAUGUAUAGAAAAUGUUUGCUCUUGUUUAUCUUAUCGAUAGUAUUGAAAAAUGAUCCAAAUGUUUAAUAGUGUGGGUGGGACUGGUUAAAUGAAUCUUGGCACAGCCAUGACAGAGGAUGCUCUUCAGCCAUUAAGUGGUAUUAUGAAAAGAAAAAUAUUUUAUUGAAUACUUAUGAUACAUCUGGCAUUAUGCGAAGCACCUUAAUUAUACUAUCUCACUUAAGCCUAACAAUAUCCCUAGAUGGUAGGUAUAAUUCUUCCCAUUUAUUCGAAAAAACACAGACGUUAAGUUCAAACAGCUGGUAAUGUUGCUGGAAUUCAACCCAUGUCUGCUCUUAAUCCUAAUUCUUAAUCACUGUGCUAAUGAUGGGGGAAAGUAUUCACUGUUUACUAGUAAGUUACUGUUGUUUGAGGGGGGUUGUUGGUGAGUUCCCAGCAUGGAGAAGGACAUGGACAGCACUGCAUCCUUAACCUCUAGGCUACCAGGGAACUCUGAGUUAUUGUUUUAAUGCAGGUUAACUGACCUUAAAACAAACAAACAACAAACUCCUUUUUUGUGUGGAGUUCCUGCUGUGGUACAGUGGUUUAAGUAUCUGACUGUAGGGAGUUCCCUCUGUGGCUCAGUGGUAAUGAACCUGACUAGUAUCCACAAGGUUCAACCCCUGUCCUUGCUUAGUGGGUUAAGGAUCCAGUGUUGCUGUGAACUGUGGAAUAGUUUGCAGACACAGCUUGGAUCAGGGGUUGCUGUGGCUGUGCUAUAGGCUGGCAGCUACAGCUCCAAUUUGACCCCUAGCCUGGGAACUUCCAUAUGCCACAAGUGCAGCCAUAAAAAAAAUAAAAAUAAGAUCCCUUCAUGUGAAAUCCCUUCUUCCUAAUUUUGGAAGUUACUGAUGAGCUGACAUGAUUUUUUCCCCCAAGAUGAAUCUGCCUUUAUACGUGUUCUUUAUUGAUUUUGAAAGUAUUGAAUGCCUGUUCUAAGAACUCAAGUGAUACUGAAGAUUAUGAAGCUCUUUUUAUUUUUAUUUUAAAAUUUUAUUUAUUUAUUUUUGGCCAUACCCAUCGCUUAUGGGAGUUCCUGGACCAGGGAUCCAAUCCAAGCUGCACCUGUGACCUGUGCCACAGCUGCAGCAAUGCUGGAUCCUUAACCCACUGAGCCACAGUGGGAACGCCUUUUUAAAUGUUCCCUCAAUUCUACCUCAUCUUGCUCUUGUGUCAGCUUACCCCUUGGGAUGGAGAUGAACCAGAAAGGCAUAUUGAGUGGAGGGAUCCAUGUAGGUCUAAAUGGCUAAAUUCCAACACAGAGAUCCAUAGUGUAUGUGAUUAAGCAUGGCAGUUGAAGCACUGUCCCUGGAGGCCAACUGUGUAGACUGUGUCCCAGCUUCUGAACUAGGGCAACUUACUUGUCCUCUUGGUGCCUUACUGUAAGGAUGAUGAUGAAGGUAUUGAUGGUGAUGAUGACAUGGCACACAUGCAGAGAUGGAAGAAAAGAAAAAUAACUUAAUAGCACUUAUGUACUGUAUACCUAUAUGGUCUCCCAUUUGAGCUCUAUGGGUUAGAUAUUUUUAUUAUUCCCAUUUUAUACAGAUGAGGAAUAUAAAACUCAGGAGCUUACAUAUUUCCACAUGUAGAGUGAAUCAUUAGAGGACAUGAUAAACACUGAAAGCCAGCUGACCGGGAGAUAGCAAAAUGCCAUGGAAUGAGCUGACAAACUGGCCUGCAGUGGAACUACCAUCGAGGACCAAGGCUCAGUGCUGGAACUUUCAGGACUGGGUGGUACCCAAUCUGCCUUUGCAGUCUGGUUCUUAACUCACUGCACCAUGGGAACUCUCUAUAAAUAUUUCUGUUUCUCCCUUAAUAUGUACUAAAAUUAUUUCUGAGUAUCAAUCUAUCUCAUUUGUGCUUUGAGGAAGCAAAUAGGCAAAAAGGAUCUUUGGCCAUCUUCUGCUGGCGUUUUCGAGAAGAACUUUGUCAGACACAAGGUGUGCUGGGCUUCAAAUGUCAGAAGCCCAAGAGGGCAAAGAUACGCACUGCAAGAAAGCCUCUUUCCCAAAGGCUUCUGGAGUAUUCUCUGCUCCAGGCUUGAAAGGUUUUGAACAAUGUUCUUUGUCUUAGAGGAUGGCCUUUCACUUACUCAUCUGUCCAGGAUGACUCAUCGCCAAGAGUGUUGAGUAAGUGAAAUUUUUACAGUAUUUAUGUUUUGGGACUUUAUAAACAUGGUGAUGUGGAAAGAGCAUGGACUUUGGAGUCAGACAGACCUGGGGUAAGUUCCUUGCUUUGUAACUUAGUAGUUGUGCAAUUUGGGGCUAGUUAAUAACUUCUCUGGGAUUCCUCAUCUAUAAAACAGGAAUGAUGAAAUUUACUGCACAGAAUGGGUAUGAAAAUGAAGUGAGCCAGCAAAAAUGAAAGUGGACCCUGUAACCUCUGGCACACAUAGUCACUUAUGCCUUUCCUUCUGCUGUCAGAUGGUGGUUGUGAGGUGAGCAUUUGCCAUGUCUUGUAUUUAUUUUUAUAUUUUCUACUAUAUAAAGUACAGUGCUUUGUUUACAUUUGCAUCUGUAAAUACCAGACAAAUGACAUUGGCAUCCAUGUGCAGAAACUGGAGCAUGAGUGGACAGAUUUAAGGUGUGUUUUAAUGUUUAUUCAUCUAUUUAUCCUAUCAUAGAGAACAACCGCGAAGUGUGGAUAAGUAGGAUGUGGGGUCAGGGCGGAGGAGUGAGGCAGGUCAUUCCCUGCACAGGGCCACCAGCUCCAGGGGAGAGUGGGGACUAAGCUCUCGGCCCCUCUGCUUACAGAGACCCUGAGAGCACCUGCCUUUGCUGGAAGGCAGCCUUCUAUGGGGGAAGGACAGCCCCAUCUCUUCGGAUGCAAGGGGCUCCUCUUAUAAACCAUUUGCUGGGCUUGGGUUAAAUGUUUUCUUUUUGGAGUUUCCUGGUGGCCUAGCCAGUUAAGGAUCUGGCAUUUUCACUGAUGUGGCUCCGGUUGCUUCUGUGCCAUAGGUUCCAUCCCUGGCCUAGGAACUUUGGUGUGCCAUGGGCAUAGCAAAUUAAUUAAUUAAUUAAAAUUAUGAAAUUAUGUGAAGAAUAAGAUGACACUCAUUGACCCAUGAAUUGAGAUGGCCAUAAUUGCUGUAACUUUUUAAAAUUUUUUUAGUUAAUAUCAUACUUUUAGAAAAACUGGAUGGAAUAUUACAAAGACUUCCCAUACAUUCUUCACAGUUUCCCAGAUUUAAUAGCUUACCACAUUUGCUUAUCCUUGUCUGUCUCUAUUACAUGCACAGAUUUUUUUUUUGAGCCAUUUGAGAUUAAAUUUCCCUCCCUCCCUCUUCUUCCUUCCUUCCCUCCUUUCUUUCCACUAAGACAUUUAGGUAGAGCUAAAACUUCCCCUCCUUGCCCCUCCCCUCUUCUCCCUCCCUGCCUCUCUUUGCCUUUUGUCAUUUUUUCCCCCUUUUUUUGGCCUCUCUGGGGCAUAUGGAGUUCUCAGGGAUCAGACCUAUGCUGCGACAAUGCUCCUUAACUUACUGUGCCAGGCCAGGGUUCAAACCUGCAUCCCAGCACUUCAGAGAUGCUGCAGAUCCUGUUACACCCCCGCAGGAACUCCACUCCUUGCCUUUGUCAGGGAACCUGAUGUUUUACAUGUUUUUGUGCUUUUACCACAUAUGAUUAGAUCUAUAGAGGAAUUUUUGUUAUUUUGAGACUUGUUUUGUAAUCCAGUACACAGUCACUUUUUUUUUUUUUUUGCUGUGCCUACGGCAUAUGGAACUUCAUGGGUCAGGGAUCAAACCCCUGCCAAAUCAAUGACCUAAGCCACAGCAGGUACAGCACCAGAUCCCGCUGAACCAUCAUGGAACAUGAUCAAUUUUACAAAUUGUUGCAUAUAACCUGAAAAUGAAUGUGUACUUUUUAAAAAAUUUAUUUUAUUUAUUUAUUUAUUUUGCUUUUCAGGGCUGCACCUGUGGUAUAUGGAAGUUCCCAGGCUAGGGGUCAAAUCAGAGCUGCAGCUGUCAGCCUAUACCACAGCCACAGCAACCCAGGAUCUGAGCUGCAUCUGCGACCUAUACUACAGCCUGCAGGGUUAAGCAUUGCUGAAUCUUUACCCUGCUGAGUGAGGCCAGGGAUUGAACCCACAUCCUCAUGGAUACUAGUUGGAUUUUUAACCCACUGAGCCACAACGGGCAGUCCAACAAGAGAAGUCAGCUUUUUAGAUAAUAUUGACCAAAUCCUUUUUUUCCAUUAUUCCAAAACUAAAUUUUAAUAUUCCUGUGAUGUUUAUGGAACUGGAAGCUUAGUAAAAAUGUUUCUUAGCUAAUUCAACAAAAAUUGAAUAUUAUUUGCUAUACAGUGGUAAAUAGAAUACAUGUGGGGAAGAGUGGGGAAAGUAGACACAAAACUAUUGAACCCAAAUAAAUUGUGAAAAUUGAUAAAUGAGAAAAGAACUGUUUCCAUAAGGGAGAAAACAAUGGGUUGUGGAGGAUGUUCCAAGAGGAAUGAACAGCUCUAGGAAGGUCAUGGGCCAGGACAGACCUUGGCCACUGAAGGGCUGGGCUGACAGAAGCCAGCAAGGCAGGAACCAAGAGGUGGCCUUACUGGGACAGACAUGCUGUUUGAGCCAUGUGAAAGCUUUUGAUUUUGUUCCAGGAAUUGGACUCUGUUGAAGGGUUUUCAGUGGAGAGUAAGAUGACUUAUUUAUAGUUUUAAAUAUAACUCUAACUGAUAGGCGGAGAAUGAGCAGAGAAAAUCUAGCAUGGAAGCAGGGUUACAGUAUAGAGCAACUUUGGCAAAUGCAGGUGUUUAUGACCUGAGAGUAUGUUUACCUCUUCUCAGAGAGUGUAACUCCACCACAUGGUGGAGUUCCCUUGUGGUGCAGUGUGUUAUCAAUCCAGUAUUGUCACUGCAGCAGUUUGGGUCACUGCUGUGCACAGGUUUGAUCCCUGGCCUAGGAAACUUCCGCAUGCCCCAGGUGUGGCCAAAGAAAAACCCCAGACCAACCACAUGGCAAGCCAAACAGACUUAAACUAACUUCAUCUGUAAAGAAUUGUUUAUACAGUUUUUAAUAAUCAUGGUAGAUUCUUCACAAGUCUAGAAGGUCUAAAAUUAUAGCCAUAACCCCACCAUAAUUUAAAUUUUGUAAAAUAUUUUUAUUUUGAGAAUUUUAAACUUCUGUAGAAAGAGAAGAGUGCAAUGAAUUCCCAUUACCUUGGGAAUUAAAUUACUCAAUGAAUAUUAGGUUUGCUGACAUUGACUUCAUCUGUCACUUUUCUUCCUUUGUGAAAUAUUUAUUUAGUGAUUGACUUUUUGCUUUUUAGGGCUAUAUCCUCGGCAUAUGGAGGUUCCCAGGCUAGGGGUCCAAUCGGAACUAUAGCUGCCAGCCUACACCAGAGCCACAGCAACACCAGAUCUGAGCCUCGUCUGUGACCUACACCACAGCUCACAGCAACACCCUAUCUCUAACCCACUUAGCAAGGCCAGGAAUUGAACCCACAACCUCAUGGUUCCUAGUCAGAUUUGUUUCCACUGUGCCACGACAGGAACUUCUCCUUUGUGAUAUUUAAAAGCAAAUCCCAAAUAUAUAAUUUUGUUCCUUACUAUAAUAAGGAUCCAACUCUAAAAUAUGAACAUUUUCAUACAUACCACAGACAUUCAUGAAAUGUAAAAAUUUAUUGCUAACAUCUAGUAUCAAUUCCAUAACCACAUUUCUUUGAUGUCUCAAAAAAUUUCUUUUUAUAGUUUAUUUGUUCAAAUCAGAAUCCAAAUAAGAUCCAUAGCAUGUAUUUGGUUGUUAGAUCUUUUAAGUCUCCUUUAACCCAGGGCACUGGUUUUUUCUUUCCUCCUUUUUUUUUUCCUUUUAAAAAAUUUAUGUCAUUGAUUUGUUGUAGAAACUGGAUUAGUUGUCCUAUAAAAUGUCUAAAUAUUGCAUAAUAAAAACUCUUCAAUUAAAAAAAAAAGGACAAAAUGCAGGGUUUGAGCCUUUCAACUUCCAGUAAGUCAGCCCAUCUCUUUGGAAUGUUCUUUGAAGUGUCUGGCAUUCAGUCCAGUCCAGUGAACCAUAAACACUCACCACGCUUGGCACACAUACGCAGGCUGCUAAAUAACAGUGCUUUUGCUGGAUGUUUGAAUUUUAUCAUUCAGGCUUCUCAGGUUCUUGACCUGUUUACUCACUGUGAUUUGUCUACUGUUACUAAAUUAACAGAAUCUGAAAAUAGCACUAUUUCUGAAACAUUUUUUUAAAAAGCAAUUAAGAUAAUGCCUGUUUGCUAAACUCCAUCUUCUCUACUUCAGAAAUUAGAAAAUUAAAAAUAGUUGAACUGGAGGUAGCAUCCGUAAAAGCCAAAUUUGGUUCCACUUUGAAGAUGCAGAGAAGAAGCAGUGACCAGACAAUGCAUGUUUUCUUCACUUCAGCGUCUGCCUUCACCUUUGAUUUCUUUGCUAUAAUUAGCCUCUGUUGCCAGUUAAGCUAAGAACUUACUACCUGCAGUAACUAGAUCAGGAGUUCUUUUAGCUUUGUUGUUUCAAUAGUGCAUGAAUAUUAUUACAAAUUUAAAAGGGUUUUUUAAAAUGUCUAUCUCAUGCUAAUCAUUUUGACUCAUUUACUAAUUUGAAUAUUCAAAGCAAAGGUAUACUUCCAAAUCAAGCAUAGGCCAUAUUUACAGAAAACUGGAUAUUUAAUGUUUUUUCACUUCUGGAAAACCAAAAACAGUAUCUUCAUUGAACCUGUGCUCACACAUUCUGGACUUAACCCUGGUUCUACAACUUACAUGCUAGAGAAACCAUUUAAUUUUUCCAAGCCAUAGUUUUCUCAGGAAAAAUGAACGCACUCUACUUAAUUUAUAGGGACUUAGGGGUAAUAGGUGAAACGGUUUAAAGUGUAGCUUGGGUAAUUUUGGGUGUGUUCUUUGGAUCAGGCCCUAAACUAGGAGACGGUUGACAGAUAUGUAUUUGCUAUUUUAUUUGGCCAUGCCUUCGGAGGAGGGAUUGAACCCACGAUACAGUUUCAACCUGUUCCGAAGCUGUGGCAAUGUUGGAUCGUUAGCCCCCUUCACCAUAAGGGAGCUUCCCAUAUUAGUUAUUUUAAGAUGAAAGAGGGAGUUCCCAUUGUGGUGAAGUGGAAACGAAUCCAGCUAGGAUCCAUGAAGAUGCAGGUUCAAUCCCUGGCCUUGCUCAGUGGGUUGGGAAUCUGGCGUUGCCGUGAGCUAUGGUGUAGGUCAAAAAUGAGGCUCGGAUCCCGCAUUGCCGUGGCUGUGGCAUAGGCCAGCAGUUUCAGCUCCAAUUCGACCCCUAGCCUGAGAAAUUCCAAAUGCCGUGGAUGUGGCCCUAAAAAGCAACAAAGUUUUUAAAAAAAUUUUUUUAAAUAAAAAAUAAAGAUGAAAGAGAAAGGUUUGAGAACCAGGAUCCUCGAAUCCUCAACUAGCCAGCUACUGUGGCUUCAGCUGCCCCCUCUUGAACCCUUUAAGAGAUAAGUAGAGAGGACCAGGUUAAACAGACACCAGCCAAAGAUAAGAGCUGGAGCCUUGACAUAUGUUUGGGAUGAAUUGGGUGGUCAGCGGAUAAUCUUUCCUGUGGUCCACUGAUAAUUAGUUACUCUUUGUGCUCCUAUAACUCUUUGGAUUCAUCAUAUUCUGCCUUGUAGGAUAUUUAUUUUGUACAAAUAUAUACCAUCCACUUAAAUAUCUUAAGAGCAGGGGUCAUAUUUAUCUUCCUAGAAUUUCCUAAUGUAGUAAGAACUCAAUAAAUGUUUAUUUAAUCAAAUUGGCACUUGAAUGGCCAGAAAUGUCACCUCAUCAUAUGGUCUUCAAUUAGAAAAGACUUCGUAGUUGCAAAGUCGAAAAAGCAACUUAAACCAAGCCAAACUACACUAUACACUAACAAUGAGAUUAACAUUGGAAGGUAAUAUUCCAGGAGUUAUAAUGGACAAGCUGAAUUAAGUAUUGGUUUAUCCAUUCAUUUAGCAAACGUUUGUUGAGAACUUGUUGUACGUUAGACACUGUGCUUGAUGAACAGGAUGCCAAGGUGAAACUCAGCACUCAGGGAGUUCACAGUUUCAGUUGUGUUGAAUCUGGGAAUAGGUUUUGUUUUUUUUUUUUUUUUUGGGGGGGGGUGUCUUUUGA
Molecule: long non-coding RNA, 8390 nt
Filed under: Sus scrofa (pig)
Lineage: Eukaryota; Metazoa; Chordata; Mammalia; Artiodactyla; Suidae
Description: lncRNA (ENSSSCG00000044016.2)
Source: RNAcentral